Zingiber officinale is the source of this 1400-nucleotide long non-coding RNA. RefSeq lists it as uncharacterized. The record is from RefSeq and is a predicted model, not a curated record. Lineage: Eukaryota; Viridiplantae; Streptophyta; Magnoliopsida; Zingiberales; Zingiberaceae. The transcript has 5 exons.
CGACAAAACGUUAUUCCCCCUCCCUCUAGCAAGCACAUCCGUCCAACACUAGUCUCCUCGAUCAUUCCUCCGCAUCGCCCACGACCCAAUCCCUAACCCUUCAAAGCCACCAAAACUUUCAUGCCUCUUCCGACGCUAUCAUUCUUGUUGCUUAGGGUUGUCCAAUUGUGCGCCCAGUAGCCGAUCCUUUCCUUCAUUGGGUUAACAAAAAGAUUCUAACGGUGAGUCUUCAGAAGGGUUACCGUAGCCCUUCUACUUCUAAAGCUGACGAUGAUGACGAGGGCAGAGGAAUUGGGAGGCGUAUAGACAAUCGCAAUCCGACUCUUCUUCUCUUCUCCCAAUCUCCACUUGCUGGAUCUUCUCUACAAUCACCUCGUUCACCACAUAAAGGUAAAUAGUCAUAAAUCUGAUUGCUAGUGGGGUGGAGGCAGUUCCUGUGGAGGAUGAUGUUGCCGUUGAUGUGAUUGAGGAGAUAGAGCCGCCUUCGGUCGCGGUGCCCUUCUCCAGGCUAUUUUCCUGCGUAGAUGAGCUCGAUUGGGUGCUGAUGGUGGUCGGGGCUAUACUGCCCUGCCCAAGGGGGGUGGCGCUAGUGGUCUACUUGUAUUUCUUUGGAAGGGUCAUCAACUUGCUCGACUCUCAGAGUGAGGCGCUGUUUGGUAAAAUCAAGCAGGUAUCUCAAAAGGGAUUGAUAGGCAUAACACUAGUAAGCCAUUGGUUUGUGCCUUGCUCUAACACCAAAGAAGUUGCAAUCUCUCACUAGAUUUCAUGUUUGGAUGGUUCACGAACCCCUUAACUCAAGGGGACUAUCCUUUCACAAUGAGAGCACUUGUUGGGGAUCGCCUUCCAAAGUUUAGCACAGAACAAUCUCAACUUAUACACAUAAUGGUAAUCAUGAUCAGGUUUCAACAACUCGAGCUUCAUUGUUGGUUUCAACUAUUAAGUAGUUUUGUAUUAUUUUGUAAUUUUGUGCAACAAGUUAUAUGAAAUCUAGAUUUAUCUCGUCUGUACCUCAAUCAAGAUUUUCUAAUUGCUGUAUGGUGUAAACUGUGAUCCUUAUUUUUAACUUUAAGAGUGGAAAUUUAUUUUGCAUAAUACCGAUGAUAUUAUUUUCUGUGGCAGAUACACAGUGGUAGGUGUUUUUUUCUCAGUCUCAAGCCGACAAUCCUUUAUGAGUGUAGCUAGUAGAAGUAAGCAUGCAAAUCGUUGCCUUCGAGGUUGGCUAGCUAUUUUGUGUUCUUUCAUUUUAAAUUUGAAUGUCACUAUAUAUUUUUAAACAGAACUAUUUAGUCUUUGAAAUCAUUAGUUAAAUUCUACUUUGUAGUUGAAUUUUACUUUGUAGCUGAAUUCUCUUGUAAAUAUCAAUAUCUAUUUUAUAAUUGGAUUUUAUUGUUUUGGUAAAA